RNAcentral lists this ribosomal RNA (403 nucleotides) under uncultured bacterium. Its description in RNAcentral is "bacterial SSU rRNA". It matches the Rfam family "Bacterial small subunit ribosomal RNA", at positions 119 to 518 of the family's 1533-position model. The record is from RNAcentral.
AUCCAACCUUCCCUAUAGUAGAGGAUAGCCCGGCGAAAGUCGGAUUAAUACUCUAUGUUUUUCCGAAGCAGACAUCUAAUUUGGAACAAAGGUUCACCGCUAUAGGAUGGGGAUGCGUCUGAUUAGGUUGUUGGCGGGGUAACGGCCCACCAAGCCUACGAUCAGUAGGGGUUCUGAGGGGAAGGUCCCCCACAUUGGAACUGAGACACGGUCCAAACUCCUACGGGAGGCAGCAGUGAGGAAUAUUGGUCAAUGGGCGAGAGCCUGAACCAGCCAAAGUAGCGUGCAGGAUGACGGCCCUAUGGGUUGUAAACUGCUUUUAUACGGGGAUAAAGUGAGGGACGUGUCCCUUUUUGUAGGUACCGUAUGAAUAAGGACCGGCUAAUUCCGUGCCAGCCGCUGC